GCCUCCUUAGCUCAGUGGCAGAGCGACGGUUUUGUAAACCGCUGAUGACAGUUCGAUUCUGUCAGGAGGCUCCA
This 74-nucleotide transfer RNA is filed under the name Candidatus Gottesmanbacteria bacterium. Its description in RNAcentral is "tRNA-Thr". It matches the Rfam family "tRNA". From Rfam's summary of the family: Transfer RNA (tRNA) molecules are approximately 80 nucleotides in length. Their secondary structure includes four short double-helical elements and three loops (D, anti-codon, and T loops). Lineage: Bacteria; Candidatus Gottesmaniibacteriota. The record is from RNAcentral.